AUCCAAACAGUCAUCAACGAAUCAAGCUUGACAGAUAGUAAUAUCUGAUACUGAGGAUACUCUACCUGAAUACAAUGUGACUAAGUCCACCUACUACAGUAAAUAUACACACCUUUAUGCACCAUGUGUUGAAGAAGAGGAUGAAGAGCCAGUUCCUGUAAAUUUGGGGAAUUUAUCAGACACAACCAUAGAGGAGGUAAACAUUACACUACCUGAUGUCAUUGCAAAGCUGUCA
Long non-coding RNA from Erpetoichthys calabaricus (reedfish), 235 nucleotides. RefSeq lists it as uncharacterized. NCBI's taxonomy places the organism in Eukaryota, Metazoa, Chordata, Cladistia, Polypteriformes, Polypteridae. The transcript is spliced from 4 exons. The record is from RefSeq and is a predicted model, not a curated record.